CUCACUUUUCCAUGCACGGUUCACGGCAACUCACUUCACCCCCUCGCGCACGCCGGCGCCUCCACCAUACCCCGGACCCCGAAGCCUCCCAUCUCCUACGCCGACGGCGGCGCCAACAUCACCUACUCCCCGGCCUCCUCCCCCUGAGCUGCAGCUAGCCAGCUACUGAUAUCGUCUCUCUCUCUCUCUCUCUCUCUCUCAUCAUCUCACCGAGCUGCAGCUACAGGCGAUGGAGACUCCCCUUCCAUUCUGGAUGAUCGAGAGCUAAAAAUGCUUGCAAGAACCGACAAAGAUCAAGGAAGAGAGUAUGCUGCGUGUUGCCCAGACAUGAUCUGGAGGUGCACACUGCAGAGAGAUGGGUGUGCUGCUGAUUGAUGGGUUGUGACUCUCUGUGAGCCCAAGGGGAUAUAAUUGGUCUUGUCUCUGGGGCUGCAUCAAAAGUUGAGGGGCCAGCUGUUGGUGAGAUUUGUGCGGCAUGUUCCUGUGUCAUUUGAAGGCAAUCGAUUUUAGAAGAAUUGGCCAUGUUAAGGAAUCUCACCCUAAGAAACUGGUAUGGUUUCUGUCAUUAUGCAUCAAUGCAGCAUACUCUUAUGCCGCACCCUUCAUCAAUGGCCUACUCUAGCGUGAUAUCUGAUGACGAUCCAGCCAAUAACUCCUAUAAACGUCAACCUUAUGUUGAUGAAAAAGACAUUCUCAAUGAACUCUCUGAUUUGCUUGCAGUUCCUCAGGGCAUUCCUGUUCCCUAUCUUUUUAAAGUUAGUCACGCCACUACUAGUACACCACAACCUAGAGCUGUCGAUAUGUUUCUAUCUCCCGAAGAGAAACUGCGUGGGGUUUUUCUUCAAAAGCUUAAAGGCAGGACUGCAAUAGAAUGUGCUUUAAAUAAUGCUGGCAUUGAUUUGACCGAGGAUAUUAUUGCCAGAGUAGUCAAUAAAGGGAAUCUUGGAGGUGAGGCAAUGGUUAUUUUUUUCAGAUGGGCGAUUAGACAUCCUUCAAUUAAGCAGGAUACUGACUGCUAUAAUCUAAUCAUCAAAGCUUUGGGCAGGAGAAAAUAUUUUGAUUAUAUGGAGAAAAUGUUGUGCGAAAUGGGAUCAAAUGGUAUAAGGCCCAGUUUAGUUACCCUGUCGAUUGUUUUGGACAGCUUUCUCAGAGCUCGACAUGUGAGUAAAGCAAUAGAGUUUUUUGGAAGGCUGGGAGGGUUUGGGUGGGAACCUAAUACAGAGACCUUAAAUGUGCUUUUGCAAUGUCUGUGCCAGCGUUUCCAUGUGGGUGCUGCUAACCGUUUUCUGAAUUCAGUAAAAGAUAGAAUUCCGUUUAAUGCAACAACUUACAACACUAUCAUCAGUGGUUGGUCCAAAUCUGGUAGAGUAGGUGAAAUCAAGAGGGUCUUGGAGGGGAUGUCAGCAGAUGGAUUCAGUCCAGACUUUUUUACUUUUAGUUACCUCAUUGAGGGUUUUGGGAGAGCCGGUCAGAUUGAUGAAGCUGUGGAGAUUUUCAGUGGUGUGAAGGAGAAAUGCUGCGGGGUAGAUGUGAGUGUCUACAAUGCAAUAAUAACUAAUUUUGCAAUGGUCGGAGAUUUUGAUUCAUGCAUGACAUAUUACAAGAAUAUGUUGAGUGAGAAAUGUGAUCCCAAUGUUGAUACUUAUACCAAUUUGAUCUCUGCUUUUCUUAAAGCUAGAAAAGUGGCUGAUGCAUUGGAAAUGUUUGAUGAGAUGUUGAGUCGUGAGCUUGUACCUAGCACAGGGAUCAUAACCUCGUUUGUCGAACCUCUAUGUAGUUAUGGUCCUCCUUAUGCUGCCAUGAUGAUUUACAAGAAAGCCAAAAAGGCUGGCUGUAAGAUAUCUCUGACUGCUUACAAGUCAUUGCUCAUGCGGCUAUCUCGAUUUGGUAAAUGCGGGAUGAUGUUAAAUCUGUGGGAGGAAAUGCAGGAGUCAGGCCAUUCUUCUGAUAUUGAAGUUUAUGAAUAUAUAAUUAAUGGUCUUUGCAACAUAGGCCAGCUAGAUAAUGCAGUGCUCGUAAUGGAUGAAUCUCUGCGAAAAGGAUUCUGCCCCAGCAGGCUUAUAUGGAGCAAACUGAAUAACAAGUUAAUGGCUUCCAACCAAGUAGAGAAGGCUUACAAGCUUUUCUUGAAGAUAAAAGAUGCACGGAGACAUGAAAAUGCUCGGAGAUAUUGGCGUGCUAAUGGUUGGCAUUUUUGAAUCCCUGGAAUGCUGUCGUGUAUCAUUUUGCCCUGGCUUCGCUAGACAGCGUUAGACUUUGAGUCUUUGUAUUGUCAUGAUGAAGCGAAUUCUAAUGUGGUAAAGGAAAGGUGAGGGCAGGUUUUCAUCGAGAAGUUCAGUUAACGCGACAAAAGUUUCCGUAACAGAUGUUGGUUGGUGCUAGAACAGUGGCGUUCCUUCUACCUAUUCCUGUAUGGAACAGAAGUGUUAAGAUGCAAAACUCGAGCCUAAAGAAAAAGUAGAGACUGCUAUAUCAGUGAACAUCCCACUGGACAAGAACUGAGAUCCCCGGACCAGGAGAGGUCCUUUUUAUCUGAUUGAUCGGUAACCCCUAUUGUGGGAAAGAGUUAUCAAAUGACGGUUACCGACUGUUGAAGGAAUGAUAUUCAAUAUGUUGAUAGUUCGUUGCGAUUUAUGAGAGAGCUCCUGAAUGUGCUUUGUGCAAAUAUUUGCGGUUCUUUCUUUUCGAUGGUCAAGCCCUUUGUAAUUCUAUGUACCUGAUGAGCCGAGAGUGUUGUAAGGACAGUAUGUGUAGUUACCUGUUAGAUCCGAAUUUCGUUCGCAACUUAUUACAUAAGGUGUGCUUGCUUAGUCGUGCUGAGUUCAUGAUAUAAAAUACAAUGCAAGAAAGCCGAGUGAGCUCGCCUUGGCCAUCCCUACGGGCAGAAGAUCCGGGGUGCCAUGGAAGUCUCAACAACAUAGCGCCCCGACUGGAGUAAACAUCCAGGCAGCAUACUGAAAUUUGUGCGUGAACAAUGUUGCCGUUCAUUUGAAAUGAUUAUGGCCCGUCAAAUGGCUUGAUGCC
Molecule: non-coding RNA, 3024 nt
Organism: Punica granatum (pomegranate)
Lineage: Eukaryota; Viridiplantae; Streptophyta; Magnoliopsida; Myrtales; Lythraceae
Source: RefSeq, a predicted model, not a curated record